This 21-nucleotide non-coding RNA is filed under the name Caenorhabditis elegans. Lineage: Eukaryota; Metazoa; Nematoda; Chromadorea; Rhabditida; Rhabditidae. The record is from RNAcentral.
UCUCUUUCCUAUUUUGAAACC